AGUUUGAUCCUGGCUCAGGACGAACGCUGGCGGCGUGCUUAACACAUGCAAGUCGAACGAUGAAGCCNUUCGGGGUGGAUUAGUGGCGAACGGGUGAGUAACACGUGGGCAAUCUGCCCUUCACUCUGGGACAAGCCCUGGAAACGGGGUCUAAUACCGGAUAACACUCUGUCCCGCAUGGGACGGGGUUAAAAGCUCCGGCGGUGAAGGAUGAGCCCGCGGCCUAUCAGCUUGUUGGUGGGGUGAUGGCCUACCAAGGCGACGACGGGUAGCCGGCCUGAGAGGGCGACCGGCCACACUGGGACUGAGACACGGCCCAGACUCCUACGGGAGGCAGCAGUGGGGAAUAUUGCACAAUGGGCGAAAGCCUGAUGCAGCGACGCCGCGUGAGGGAUGACGGC
RNAcentral lists this ribosomal RNA (401 nucleotides) under Streptomyces sp. 6BMA7. Its description in RNAcentral is "bacterial SSU rRNA". It matches the Rfam family "Bacterial small subunit ribosomal RNA", at positions 10 to 415 of the family's 1533-position model. The record is from RNAcentral. Lineage: Bacteria; Bacillati; Actinomycetota; Actinomycetes; Kitasatosporales; Streptomycetaceae.